AGUGAACGCUGGCGGUAGGCCUAAUACAUGCAAGUCGAACGGCAGCACAGUAAGAGCUUGCUCUUACGGGUGGCGAGUGGCGGACGGGUGAGGAAUACAUCGGAAUCUACUUUUUCGUGGGGGAUAACGUAGGGAAACUUACGCUAAUACCGCAUACGACCUACGGGUGACAGCAGGGGAUCUUCGGACCUUGCGCGAUUGAAUGAGCCGAUGUCGGAUUAGCUAGUUGGCGGGGUAAAGGCCCACCAAGGCGACGAUCCGUAGCUGGUCUGAGAGGAUGAUCAGCCACACUGGAACUGAGACACGGUCCAGACUCCUACGGGAGGCAGCAGUGGGGAAUAUUGGACAAUGGGCGCAAGCCUGAUCCAGCCAUACCGCGUGGGUGAAGAAGGCCUUCGGGUUGUAAAGCCCUUUUGUUGGGAAAGAAAAGCAGCAGGUUAAUACCCCGCUGUUCUGACGGUACCCAAAGAAUAAGCACCGGCUAACUUCGUG
Molecule: ribosomal RNA, 492 nt
Filed under: uncultured bacterium
Lineage: Bacteria
Description: partial 16S ribosomal RNA
Rfam family: Bacterial small subunit ribosomal RNA
Source: RNAcentral